GUGCUCGCUUGGGCAGCACAUACACAAAAUUGCGACUAUACAGAGAAGAUUAGCAUUGGCCCUGUGCAAGAAAGAGAAGGGUCAGAUCUGCAGAAAGGCACUCUCCA
Molecule: small nuclear RNA, 107 nt
Organism: Suncus etruscus (white-toothed pygmy shrew)
Lineage: Eukaryota; Metazoa; Chordata; Mammalia; Eulipotyphla; Soricidae
Source: RefSeq, a predicted model, not a curated record